RNAcentral lists this ribosomal RNA (460 nucleotides) under uncultured bacterium. RNAcentral describes it as "partial 16S ribosomal RNA". It matches the Rfam family "Bacterial small subunit ribosomal RNA", at positions 338 to 795 of the family's 1533-position model. The record is from RNAcentral.
CCUACGGGGGACAGCAGUGAGGAAUAUUGGUCAAUGGACGAGAGUCUGAACCAGCCAAGUAGCGUGAAGGAUGACUGCCCUAUGGGUUGUAAACUUCUUUUAUAAAGGAAUAAAACGAGGCACGUGUGCCUUUUUGCAUGUACUUUAUGAAUAAGGAUCGGCUAACUCCGUGCCAGCAGCCGCGGUAAUACGGAGGAUCCGAGCGUUAUCCGGAUUUAUUGGGUUUAAAGGGAGCGUAGAUGGGUUGUUAAGUCAGUUGUGAAAGUUUGCGGCUCAACCGUAAAAUUGCAAUUGAUACUGGCAGUCUUGAGUGCAGUUGAGGUAGGCGGAAUGCGUGGUGUAGCGGUGAAAUGCAUAGAUAUCACACAGAACCCCGAUUGCGAAGGCAGCAUACCGGUGCACAACUGACGCUCAGGCACGAAAGCGUGGGUAUCGAACAGGAUUAGAUACCCGGGUAGUC